GUUUUUCAAAAAAAAAAUAAUAAAAAAAAAAAACCCCAAAUUUCCCUAACUUGAAAUCCUUACAUGAGAAAGAAACAACUGAUCUCAUAGUCAGAGGACGAAAGAGAAGAAGCAGUAUUUCGUGGCUCAAGAAAUGCCAGUUACCAAAUUCAGAUGAACCCUAGAGCCUAGAUACAAAUUUCACUCUCAAACUCAAAGCCACUUGUCGUGAAUUGCUUUUCCCAAACUGGCAAGAUUUUUGGCAUGGCUGAGAAACAUAAUGCAAAUUCAAGAUACAUAUACUUACACGAGACUGAUAAAUUGCCUGCACAAGCAGUUGAUAUUCACCAUUUAGUUACCAGGAAAAAUCAUCGAUGGACUGUAGUUGCAAGCUUUUCAGCUUUUGUUUUCCUUUUAAAUGUAUUCUAUCUAAUGCUGAAACAGGAUAUAUUAGUUUCUGUGCUUCUCUUGUACUUGAUCACUGGCGUGGCCUUCCUCAAAUUAUUGCGACAGAAAAUUGUUGAGAAAGAGUGUGUUGUUAUCAUCCCAGCUUUUGGAGUCCAGCUUGAAACCCAUUAUAGAAGUGGGAGAGCUGUCCGUCACUUUGUUCCCAUUGACAAGAUUUUGAAGCCUGUACUGAACGAAUGUGUGACGCCAGUUACAUGUUAUUGGAGCUUGGCAUUAAUUGUACGUGAAGAAGAUGAAUUGAUGUUAGUUUUUAAGGAAGUGCGACCCCCGCUUAAGAUGUUGUUACCAAUUUGGAAGGCGCUUUGUGCUGCUACUGAUUCCAGCGGAAGCUUAGAGACAUAAUCAGACACCCAGCUAAAUUUUUUGUGAGGUGGGAAACGUGAACUAAUUCUGAGGCUUUCAUCUGAAGCACUGAGAAUUUGAGACUAGGAAUUAAUUCUAGGAAGAUGUGCUAACUACGCUGAUCAGGAGAUGUACUGCAGUAACUUCAGAGUUGAAAUCCUUUUUGAAGAUUAUGGAAACACAAAAAGCUAUAGAUCUUAAGUUGCUGAAUGGUCUGGUAAAUCGACCCCUUGCUGAUAUUUUUUUGGCUUAUGAAGCUGUUUUCAGCUUCAUAAUAAGCUAUGAAAAGGAAUUGUACUCGAGCGUUAGUUGCAUAUAAAGAUGUCAAAUGACAUGCAGAUAUAAGAGAUACGGGUUCCAGCUUGUUAAAAUUUUUCAGUUAGUAUCGCGUGGUUCAGAAAAAAGCAGUUAUUGGGAUGAGAAUUGGGAUGAGACUGCAUAAUUGUCCGUGGCAUUGUUAUGUAUAAAUAUGGAGCACACUAUAUGUUCUUUGAAUAAGCUGUCUAUUUCUCUGAACUACGAAUGGUGCUUGUGUUUCAGAUGCUUGUAGUUUAUAGUGUUAUGGAGUUCUUAAAUCUUAGUUCUUAUUUUCAUAGUGGCCAAGUCAGAUUAAAUCUAAGGUCACAAAGCAAAUUUUGACUCUCAUGUUUAACUA
This is an RNA transcript of Beta vulgaris subsp. vulgaris (sugar beet), 1444 nucleotides long. RefSeq lists it as uncharacterized. The transcript has 7 exons. NCBI's taxonomy places the organism in Eukaryota, Viridiplantae, Streptophyta, Magnoliopsida, Caryophyllales, Amaranthaceae. The record is from RefSeq and is a predicted model, not a curated record.